Molecule: ribosomal RNA, 254 nt
Filed under: uncultured bacterium
Lineage: Bacteria
Description: partial 16S ribosomal RNA
Rfam family: Bacterial small subunit ribosomal RNA
Source: RNAcentral
UACGGGGGGAGCAAGCGUUGUUCGGAUUUACUGGGCGUAAAGGGCGCGUAGGCGGUCAGCACAAGUCAGUUGUGAAAUCUCCGGGCUUAACUCGGAAAGGUCAACUGAUACUGUGCGACUAGAGUGCGGAAGGGGCAACUGGAAUUCUUGGUGUAGCGGUGAAAUGCGUAGAUAUCAAGAGGAACACCGGUGGCGAAGGCGGGUCUCUGGGCCGUAACUGACGCUGAGGAGCGAAAGCGUGGGGAGCGAACAGG